CCGGGGAGCGGACGGCUGCGUGUCGCCCCGCCGCGAGCGCAGUCAGAGUUUAUGGAGCUCCUACUGUGUGCCCCGCGCAGCCGCGGCCCCUGCAGCUGCUGGCUCGGGAGCGGUGCCAUCUGCUCUGCUUCACCCGCAAGCUGGAGCGUAUUGUAAAUUCACAAUGGGAACAAUAACCUAUAAGUGAGUUCACUGUGGCAAGGGAUGGUUGAGGCAGACUGAGGGAGUCUGGUCUGGUCGAGCCGGGCAUGAAAGUUUUGUGAUGUUUCUCUACUUCCCGGAACGGGAGACUCCGCCCCCCCACAUGCUCCCCACCCCCAUGGUCUCACCACGCAGAGCUCACGAUCAACAGUUAAAAAAAAGCGAGUGACACUUUGGCUAGCUGGGUUCACAGAUAGAUGCAGUGCAGUCCCUAAACCCUCAACAUUGACUCAGUCAUUUCAUAGAGAUCAGAUCCAAAGCACUGCCUCCUUACAGCAAGUCUCCUCGAAUGGCCCUCCACUGCCCUGAAAGGAGAUUCAUGGAUUAUACAACCUUCCACUCCCCCCACCCUUGUAUUUCCUUUAAAUCAACAUCAUGCUCAAGGUUCAGUACAGUGGAGAAGUACAAGGUACUCAGUAACCAACACACCUACGGAUAACCAAACCGCAUUUCAAAUGUGCGUGCUGGGCCGUUUCUCCAGAACACUCAGAAGCCCCACAUUUCCAAAAUGCUCCAUAGGGGGUACGACUGCCUAGAUGUGCUUUAAGCACCGUGGACCCCAGGAAAAUAUGAAGUAAUGGAGGGGGUUGCGCUUUAUAGUCUAAAUUCUUCUAAUAAUUUAUCUUUAACGGGUACUAUCGGGGUGCCCCCAUCAGGUAUUACCACUCUAGCGCACCCACCACCGGUCACCCGUAUUCCACCGCCAUAGUCCAUUUUGCUUCCUUCCCUCUUUGUUUUUUCCUUCCCCUGCACCUCACUCCCUUGGUGCUUCAGUUUUGUAGUUUGCUAUCAAGGGUUAGUUUUUCAGCUUGUCUUUAUCUGACUAUUAAAUAGUUACUUUAUAGUCCAUGUAUUAGUCCCACCAUCUGGUAUUUAUCUUUCUCCUGACAUACUUCACUUAGCAUUAUCCUUUCAAUCGCCAUCCACUUUGCCGCAAAUGGCUCGGUUUAUCUUUUUUGACCGCUUUGUAGUAUUCCUCUGUGUGUGUGUGUAUCACAUCGUCCUGACCCAUUAUCUAUUCUGGGGCACACAGGCUGUUUCCAUAGUUUAUAGUAAACAACUCUACAAUAAACAUGGGAGUGCACGUUUGUUUUGUUAUUAGAGUUUGAAUUUUUGGAUAGAUGCCUAGGAGUGGAAUUACUGGGUCCGAUGGCAGAUCCAUGGUUAAUGUUUUGAGGCUCCUCCACACAGCUUUCCAUAGAGCUGGACCAGUUUGAAUUCCCACCUGCAGUGUAGGCGGUUUCCCGUUUCUCCACAUCCUCACCAGCACGUGAUGUUUCUGGUCUUUUCGAUGGGGGCCAUUCUCAAGGGUGUGAGGUGAUAGCUCCUUGUGGUCUUGAUUUGCAUUCUCUAGCGAGUGAUGGUGAACAGUUUUUCAUCUGCUUGCUGGCCAUUCGUAUAUUCUGAAUUCUUUUUUAAAAAAAGAUUUAUUUAUUUAUGCACACACGAGCUGGGAUACAGGCCAGAGGUGUGUGUGUGGGGGGGGAGAGAAUUUACCAGAGACAGCGUGGGGAACAGGCAGACUGACUGAAAUACACUGCUGAGGGGAGCAGCAGGCGGGUCAGGAGAGGUCUGCUGCACCAUGUGGGUAGCUCCCUGGCGGGGGAUCGAAUUCAUGCUGCAGUGAGUGGCUGUGGGCAGCUUCAUAGGUUGUGUCUUAACCCCUUGUGCCACCAGGGAGACCCCUAUUCUAAAUUCUUAGUCACAGUGGCUGUGGAAGAGUCUUAGAGUAAAUCAGCCUCCUGGUGUUUGUGUGUUUCUGUGACCCCUCCCGGACUGACAUAGGACUUGGUCACAUGACCUGUGGCCUGUGGGGCAUUUAGCAAUCAUGGCGCACACAGUGGUUUGAUAAGUGCCUGCAUGUUGGGGUUUGUACACUUUAAAUACUGAGAACGUCAUGUAAAAAAGCUUGUCUAACCUUCUGGAUGAUGAAAAAGCCUUUUGAGAGAGCUGCUGUUUCCGUUGGAGUUCUAAGGCAGGAGUAAAACCGGUAUUGCUGCUUGCGGCAGGGGAAUUCUCUCUUCCUGGGGGAGGGAAGCCUGGGGGGAGUUAGUGUUUUUUGAAACUAAUAAAGAAUUGUAUUUACUUAGGAGCAUUCAGAAUGUCAACAAAACAACUGCAGCUUUUUCCCCCUCAAUUAUGGCGGUAUUCCGUUAGCAACAAUUAUUUCAAAUAAGCGGCAUCAGAGAUAUAUCAGAGAUAAGUGAAGAUGAAAAAUUACCAACCACGUAUCUAACUAAUUUGUGCUGUGCACCAACAAGAACCUGCUUUAAAUUUCUAUGCCAGGGUCCAACCCCUGUCGUGGACCAGGCAAGAUUUUGAAGUUGAAUGAGGAGGGAAGCUGAAAAGUUAAGUCCCAAACUUCUGAAAGAUAGAGUUGUAAGAGUGGAGGAGAUGAAAACCUACCGAUCUCUCAAUGAAAACUACAGGAAGAUUGGGCCUCCCUGGUGGCGCAAGGGGUUAAGACGCAAGCUAUGAAGCAAUCUGCAGCCUCUGCAGUACAAGUUCAAUCCCCAACUGGACAGGAAGCUACCCACAUGGAGCAGCAGACCUUACCUGACUCACCUGCUGCUCCCCUCAGCAUUGUAUAUCAAUCUGUCUGUUCUGCUCCCUGCUCUGUCUCUGCUGAAUCCUCUCACCCCCCACACCUCUGGCCUGUACCCCAGUUCUUGUAUGCAUAAAUAAACAAAUCUUAAAAAUAAAACAACAGUAUGAAGGUUAUAUCCAAGAAAGGGCUGGGCUAGAAAUACAGAAUAAAAUCUCGAUGUGUCCUGGUACUUGGAAGACUUAAAGUGUGGAGUCUACAAGUAACACAAGAAUGUCUGACUCUCAGAAUGUUGGAACUACAGAUGGACUGAAUUUAGCGGAAGGGACAUGAUUCAGCUCUUAGCAGAAGGACAGUGUGCGGACUGGCCCAGCCACAUCUCGUCUCUGCAAGGUUGUCCUGUUUGCAUCCACCUUGUUGGUUUCUCAGUUACCUGUUCUGACAAACUAGUGGCCUUUCAUUCUUGUCCACUUUCAAGGCAUGAUUAGAACAAGAAAUUGCCAAUGAUGAGAUGGAAUGAGAGCCCAGGGUCUGGAACCGUGAGGGUAGAAGGUACACUUUGGAAUGGGAUUACCAAGUGAGAGAGAAAACAUGUCCAGAGAAGCUUGUAAAAAUGAGGGAAUCGAGGCAGCAAGAGAUCAGAGGACCAGAAGUGCCCCGACAGAGCGCCACCCCGGAGCCCUCCUCUAUUCUGACUUGUACUGUGAAGUUUCCAAUACUGUGUGCCCCUGGAAUGCACCCUCUCAGCUAAUGAAGCCCCAGAGUCCUGCAGUCACGAUCCCUGCGCAGGAGACUCUGGUUUUAACUCGAUUGGAACCUGACUGGUAUCUGCAGGAUAAAAGAGAAAUGUUGCUGAGUAGUGAAGAGAAUAUGUCCAGACCUCCGGCCAGAGGGAAAAGACGUAGGCGGGCAGGAGGGAACUGAACUAAUCUUCAUUCUUCCAGCAGAGAUACGGAGGCUGGGAAACAUCUCAUCCAUAACAACCCAAUCAUGGCUCCCUCCAUUUUAUGCUCCUUCCCAUAAAGCACUUAGAGAAGAAAAGAAAAAUUAAGUCUCUCUCCCUCCCUAGCCUUUAUUCUUUUAGCCAAGUUGUGACAAGCCACUGAUUUCGACCCCAUAAAUUAUUUAACGUUCCUCCUUCACGUUGGGAUUGGAAAAUCAAUCUCCCUGAUUAAAAAGUGACCAGCUUCACGUCUCCAAAUGUCUCUUUAAUCUUUUAAUUAUGUCUGCUUACAGUCAGCAUGUGUCUCCAAGAAGCAGAGGGCUGGAGUCUUGCUAACUUGGUUCAGCCAAUCUAUAAGUCUAUCGUUUUGUUUUUUUUUUUUUAGUGAACCAUCUGCUAUGGUUACUGUCAGGUAGGCCUGCUUUGAGAAAUACCACUAGAAGGUGAGAUUCUUAAUAAACUUCUAUUUCAAUGCCACAUGUAAAGUUCUGUUGUUUCUCUAUUCUCUCACUAAAUUAAAUAUUAUAGGAUCUAAGGGGAGGCUUAGCGGAUAUAAACACCAGUUUAAUAAAAAGCACCGAGGCAUGUGAAUGUUUGUGUAUAGACCUGAGAAGUCAAGCAAAACCCACCGUCAUAAAUAGAGCAAGCCAGAGUAACGCAGCCAAAAGUAUACAUUUGUAAAUUGACUCCCAGGCCAAGAUUUUCGGAAGAAGAAUUACCAUCACUUCAGCAACCCAAUUCUUCAUGAAAAACUGUUCUACUCUAAUGAGCCAGAUGAGAAACAGUCUCCAGAAGGCUUGUAAAUGUAAGCAACAGAUUAC
Talpa occidentalis (Iberian mole) is the source of this 4510-nucleotide long non-coding RNA. RefSeq lists it as uncharacterized. The record is from RefSeq and is a predicted model, not a curated record. NCBI's taxonomy places the organism in Eukaryota, Metazoa, Chordata, Mammalia, Eulipotyphla, Talpidae. The transcript has 6 exons.